This 419-nucleotide ribosomal RNA is filed under the name uncultured Prevotella sp. RNAcentral describes it as "bacterial SSU rRNA". It matches the Rfam family "Bacterial small subunit ribosomal RNA", at positions 358 to 774 of the family's 1533-position model. Lineage: Bacteria; Pseudomonadati; Bacteroidota; Bacteroidia; Bacteroidales; Prevotellaceae. The record is from RNAcentral.
GGAAUAUUGGUCAAUGGCCGAGAGGCUGAACCAGCCAAGUAGCGUGCAGGAUGACGGCCCUAUGGGUUGUAAACUGCUUUUAUGCGGGGAUAAAGUGCGCCACGUGUGGCGUUUUGUAGGUACCGCAUGAAUAAGGACCGGCUAAUUCCGUGCCAGCAGCCGCGGUAAUACGGAAGGUCCGGGCGUUAUCCGGAUUUAUUGGGUUUAAAGGGAGCGCAGGCGGAAGCUUAAGCGUGACGUGAAAUGCAGGUGCUCAACAUCUGCACUGCGUCGCGAACUGGGUUUCUUGAGUGAGUACGACGUGGACGGAAUUCGUGGUGUAGCGGUGAAAUGCUUAGAUAUCACGAAGAACCCCGAUUGCGAAGGCAGUCCACGAGUCCUUUACUGACGCUAAAGCUCGAAAGUGCGGGUAUCGAACA